Molecule: ribosomal RNA, 471 nt
Filed under: uncultured bacterium
Lineage: Bacteria
Description: bacterial SSU rRNA
Rfam family: Bacterial small subunit ribosomal RNA
Source: RNAcentral
GAGUUUGAUCCUGGCUCAGAGCGAACGCUGGCGGCAGGCUUAACACAUGCAAGUCGAGCGGGCAUCGCAAGAUGUCAGCGGCAGACGGGAGAGUAACACGUGGGAACAUGCCCUUCGGUUCGGAAUAACUCAGGGAAACUUGAGCUAAUACCGGAUACGUCCGUAAGGAGAAAGAUUUAUCGCCGAAGGAUUGGCCCGCGUCCGAUUAGCUAGUUGGUGAGGUAACGGCUCACCAAGGCGACGAUCGGUAGCUGGUCUGAGAGGAUGAUCAGCCUCACUGGGACUGAGACACGGCCCAGACUCCUACGGGAGGCAGCAGUGGGGAAUAUUGGACAAUGGGCGCAAGCCUGAUCCAGCCAUGCCGCGUGGGUGAUGAAGGCCCUAGGGUUGUAAAGCCCUUUCGGCGGGGAAGAUAAUGACGGUACCCGCAGAAGAAGCCCCGGCUAACUUCGUGCCAGCAGCCGCGGUAAU